CCUACGGGGGGCUGCAGUGGGGAAUAUUGGACAAUGGGCGAAAGCCUGAUCCAGCCAUGCCGCGUGUGUGAAGAAGGCCUUCGGGUUGUAAAGCACUUUCAGUGGGGAAGAAAGCCUUGGGGCUAAUACCCUCGAGGAAGGACAUCACCCACAGAAGAAGCACCGGCUAACUCCGUGCCAGCAGCCGCGGUAAUACGGAGGGUGCGAGCAUUAAUCGGAAUUACUGGGCGUAAAGCGCGCGUAGGCGGUCUGAUAAGCCGGUUGUGAAAGCCCCGGGCUCAACCUGGGAACGGCAUCCGGAACUGUCAGGCUAGAGUGCAGGAGAGGAAGGUAGAAUUCCCGGUGUAGCGGUGAAAUGCGUAGAGAUCGGGAGGAAUACCAGUGGCGAAGGCGGCCUUCUGGACUGACACUGACGCUGAGGUGCGAAAGCGUGGGUAGCAAACAGGAUUAGAUACCCUGGUAGUC
Molecule: ribosomal RNA, 465 nt
Filed under: Vreelandella stevensii
Lineage: Bacteria; Pseudomonadati; Pseudomonadota; Gammaproteobacteria; Oceanospirillales; Halomonadaceae
Description: partial 16S ribosomal RNA
Rfam family: Bacterial small subunit ribosomal RNA
Source: RNAcentral